This is a small nuclear RNA of Eremothecium sinecaudum, 70 nucleotides long. Lineage: Eukaryota; Fungi; Ascomycota; Saccharomycetes; Saccharomycetales; Saccharomycetaceae. The record is from RefSeq and is a predicted model, not a curated record.
UUUUGAGCUUGGUAACAGUGUUGUCUUCCUUCUUGGUUCAGAAGCAGAACUGAAUUAAUUUUAUCAUCAU